GGGCGAGUGGCGGAAUUGGCAGACGCGCAGGACUUAGGAUCCUGUCUCGUAAGAGGUAGAGGUUCAACCCCUCUCUCGCCCA
This 82-nucleotide transfer RNA is filed under the name Candidatus Omnitrophota bacterium. Its description in RNAcentral is "tRNA-Leu". It matches the Rfam family "tRNA". Rfam says of the family: Transfer RNA (tRNA) molecules are approximately 80 nucleotides in length. Their secondary structure includes four short double-helical elements and three loops (D, anti-codon, and T loops). Further hydrogen bonds mediate the characteristic L-shaped molecular structure. tRNAs have two regions of fundamental functional importance: the anti-codon, which is responsible for specific mRNA codon recognition, and the 3' end, to which the tRNAs corresponding amino acid is attached (by aminoacyl-tRNA synthetases). tRNAs cope with the degeneracy of the genetic code in two manners: having more than one tRNA (with a specific anti-codon) for a particular amino acid; and 'wobble' base-pairing, i.e. permitting non-standard base-pairing at the 3rd anti-codon position. Lineage: Bacteria; Pseudomonadati; Candidatus Omnitrophota. The record is from RNAcentral.